UCGGUAACCACAGGAAGUCGCGGCUCCCAGAACCUAUCUGGAUCUCCUUAGGGAAGGUUCCGGGAGCUGUGGAGCCAGCCACAGGCAUGGCUACAGUGGCAGCAGCAAACCAGCGCGCUGGCCAGUUUUCCUGGGGGAUGUGCCACUGACAUCAGCUGGGUUUUCAGUGGUAACAAAAGCAGGAGCUACCAGAAGAAGCUUCUCUCAGGUUCUCUUCAGAUUUAUGAGUUUACCACAAUAGAGGAUUUCUGCAAAGGUGUGCCAAACCCACAGAACAGAGAGACUAUAAUGUUGUAAGAUCACUAGGAUGGAAUUCAGGAACUCAGAGUCCAAGCCUAACUUCCUACUUGAAGUCACAUCAUCUCUGAACAAAAGCCACCAAGAGCUUUUGUAUGGUCUUGUAUGUUUGGUCCACAUGUGUGGGGAAAAGUUCUCUAGUGGAACCAGGGAGCAUUACCGUUCCCAUGUUAAAGAUGGAGCUGCUGACGCUCAGGAGAGUGACUUGCCCAAAGCCAAAAACAGAAGGGCUGGUGAAAUCACACACCUGUAAGGAUAAAGGAGGAUUUACAUUUUUGUAGAUUGGCAACUGCACAAGAAAGAGGUGAUCUUUCCAGUUAACUUUAGCAGGCUUCUUUCCACUUCUGCUUAAAAUGAUUUACAGCACC
Long non-coding RNA from Hyaena hyaena (striped hyena), 665 nucleotides. RefSeq lists it as uncharacterized. NCBI's taxonomy places the organism in Eukaryota, Metazoa, Chordata, Mammalia, Carnivora, Hyaenidae. The record is from RefSeq and is a predicted model, not a curated record. The transcript is spliced from 5 exons.